RNAcentral lists this unclassified non-coding RNA (1283 nucleotides) under Borreliella bissettiae. Its description in RNAcentral is "Borreliella bissettii partial 16S-23S ribosomal RNA intergenic spacer". The stretch from base 552 to 1010 matches the Rfam family "Bacterial small subunit ribosomal RNA", at positions 875 to 1520 of the family's 1533-position model. Lineage: Bacteria; Pseudomonadati; Spirochaetota; Spirochaetia; Spirochaetales; Borreliaceae. The record is from RNAcentral.
GCGGCUGGAUCACCUCCUUUCUAAGAGAAAGAUAAACUAAGGCGUAAUUCCAUUAACUCUUCCCUACUCUCUUCUUUUGAUAAAAGAGUUUUUAAAACCAGUGUUAUUUUUUUAAGUUUAAUAGAAAUUUAUGUAUUAAACUUUUUAUUAAUGAUAUUAAAGCGCUCUAUUAAGUUUAGAUCAUUUUGGGGGUUUAGCUCAGUUGGCUAGAGCAUCGGCUUUGCAAGCCGAGGGUCAAGGGUUCGAGUCCCUUAACCUCCAUUUGGCAUUUGCCUUGGAUUGUGAUUAAGCAUUUUUUCAAGUAACUUUGUUAUAGCGAUUAUUUUAAAGAUGAAAUAGAGGAAGUUAGAAUUUAUGGGUUAAAGGUGGGAUCUUUUGAUACUAAGAAAACUGUCUAGAAACAAAAACAAGCCUCUUAUAAAAACUUACGGUGUGUCAUUAAAUCAUAAGAAUUAAACAAGAUUACAUUUUCUAGUAGUCUAUUUUAAACAUCCCACAUUCAUUACUAGCUUUUAAUUAGGAAUUAAUGUGAGUCGUUAAAGCGUGAUGUCUGGGAGCAAAUCUUGUAACGAAUAGUGAUCUUUGUUAUCGUUAUCACCACGUAAUGACGGGGGUUUGUAUAAUACUUUGGGGAGUAUAAGUAGGAGGGAGAGUAAGGGCUUCUGUGUCCAAAUCAUUGCUCUUAUGUCCUGAGCUGUGUACGUUCUAUAGUGGUCUGUGUAAAGAAGCGAAGAUAAACAGCGAUGUGAAGCAAGGCGCGUAAGGCAGGUCUAAGUCUGGAUUGAAGUUUGAAAUUAGAUUUCAUGAAGUUGAAAUCGCUAGUAAUCGUAUAUUGGCAUGAUACGAUGAAUACGUUCUCAGGCACUUGUACGCACUCGUCCGUCACACCAUUUGAGUUGAGGAUGACCUAAGUUAUUAUCCUAACCCGUAAGGGAGGAAGGUAUUUAAGGUAUGUUUGGGGGGAGAGAAAUGGAGUCGUAACAAGAAGCUAGUACUUUCUAGUAUGGCUUGGAUUAGCCUCUUUUUAGGAGAAAGGCAAAUUAAGGUUAAUUUUAUUGACCAUUCUUUGUACUUUUAUUUUGAUGAAAAAAUCUUUGAAGUCAAGGUAAAUUUUUAGUUUAAAAUUUAGAAAAAAUAAAUCUUUAGUAGGUGUUUAACAGUAUUCAGCUUUAUAUUUAAUUAAGCUAUUGUUUGAUAGUAGGUACAAUUUUAGGGUGAGGGGUUUUUAUAUUAUUAAUUAUAGCUUAAAGCAAUGAUGCCAUACUAAAACGAUGAAAUACAUG